CUGAGGGGUGGGCUGAGGUGGGGAGGGGUUUUGACCAAGAAAAGAAGUGAGGAAACUUUUUGAAAGCAAGGUAGUGUUUGAUUUUUUUAUUACAGUUUCAGACACAAGGUUUGUCUAUUCGUCAAAACCUAUUAAUGGCAUACCUAAGUCUUGUGCAUUUCACUGAACAUAGAUUUUACCAUAAAGAAGAACCAAAAACAUAUUGCACUCCAGUUAAUAAUAGCCAGGCAGAAACAUUUAAGGUGAAACAUAAGCUACAUAUCUGCAACUUAACUUGAAAUAUAUAAAAAAUUAGAUGAAUUGAUGGAUUCAUGGAAGAAUGGAUAGAUGGAUAGGUACAUAUAUGUGAUAAAGAAAGUAGGGUAAAAUGUUAAUUGUAGAAUCUAGGUGGUGGGUACAUGGUGUUCACUGAGCAAUUCUUUCAUCUUUUGCAUGUUUGAAAAAUUUAAUAGUAUACUAGUGGGGAAAAUAUUUGAGAGUGGUGAGUUCUGUGUGUGCGUGGAACUAUCUGUAACUUGGAGGAGCUAGAAAAAUCCAUUUGGACAAUGUGUUCAUGGACUCAGAAAAUCAGAAUAUAAUUUUUUUGAGGCAGGGUCUCACUGUGUUGUCCAGGCUGGAUUGCAGUGGUGCAAUCAUAGCUCACUGCAGCCUUGACCUCCUGGGUUCAAAUGAUUCUCCUGCAUCAGCCUCCUCAGUAGCCAGGACUACAGGUGUGAGCCACCAUACGUGGUUAAUUUUUGCAUUUUUAGUAAAGACAGGGUCGUACUAUAUUGCCCAGGCUAGGCUCCAACUCCUCGCCUCAAGUGAUUCUCCUGCCUUGGCCUCCCAAAGUGCUGGAAUUACAGGCGUGAUCCACUGCACCUGGCUUGUAUUUGUUUUAAACCAAUUUUGAUCUCUAUCUUGGAGGCAGAUCCAGUUCAUUAGAGAUCAUUCCUGUGGAUGCCUCUUCAACUUCUACACUACAUAUUCAUUUCUCACCUUAGACCCUUCAGAUGAUCCACUGCAGUGAAUUCUUACAAUGUUAUGCUUUCUUGGUACCUAUUUUGAAUAUAUGUUGGACUUUCUCAUACCAGAAGCAGGGCUUAGUCAUCCUUGAAAGUUUCCACGUCUCCACCUCUUCCCAGGCCCUCAAAAUGGUCGAUCCAGAGAUGUGCCUUAUAUAGCUGCCUCCUGGUGACCAAGUCCCUAAGGGACAGCUAGAUGCAACCUACUUGACCCACCCUGCAGACCCUCACACCCGGCAUGGACUGCCCAGAUAUGCUGCCAUGACCACCUCUCCCUCACAACAUGGCCUCCCGUAACUUGUGCCUACCUGAUCUAAGCCAACGAAUUACAACUUCUUGGGAACCUGCUGGGGUGAUGGCCUGGACCCCAUAAAGGCUUCAGCUCUCAGGGCCCACACUCCAUCUCUCUUGCUCCCCACCUGCUGGCGAGCACAAGGGUCCUGACGGCUCCCCCAGUCCAGCGUGCUGCCCUCUUCUCUCUGGACCUGCGAGGAACUCACUGCUUCUGGUAUUUCAUGGGUUUUGUUGAGUGGCCUCCUCUGUGUCUCACUUGACCAACACACCUGAUCCUAACUUCUUUCCAAAUUCAGAACUCUCCUGAAGAGUGGCUAUCUUGGUAGGCUAAAUAAAUAAAUACACCAGACACAGACAAGAGACUCAAGGGUAUCUAAGAGGGUAAACAAGUUUCUCAUGAGAGACCUGGGCACAGGUCAGACACAGGGAUUCUGCCAUCCACCAGGAUAAAGAAGUACCCCGUGAAGAUCUGAAAACUGUCUUGUUAAUUCACUUCAGGCUGCACAGUUUUUGCAGGGACAGCUGUGGCUACAAACGUGGGCCAUGUGGGAAGGGCACUCUCCCUGCACUGUCACCUGCAUGCCCAGGAUUGACAAGGAGAGCCACUGCCCCCCACCUGCCGGCUGGUCUCCAGCAGCAUGAAAACAGGGGGCGUGGCAGUUCCUGCCAUAAAGAGGAAAAUGAUACACUUUAUCCCAGAUGCCAGGUGCUGUCUGCAUCAGUCCUUUUAAAAAUUUAAUCGCUUUAUACAAUUGACACCAAAUAAAAUGCACAUAUUUAAAGUUUACAAUUUGAGAAGCUGACACGUGUCCAUACAGACACACCUCAUUUUACUGUGCUUUACUGUAUUGCCCUUUGAAGAUACUGCAUUUUCUUUUUACAAAUUAAAGGUUUGUGGCAACCCUGUGCUGAGCAAGUUUAUUGGCAUCAUUUUUCAAACAGCAUGCACUCACUGUGCAUCUCUGUGUCACAUUUUGGGAAUUCUCACAGUAUUUCAAACUUUUCCAUUAGGAUUAUAUUUGUUAUAGUGACCUGUGCUCAGUGAUCUUUGAUGUUACUGUUGUAAUUACAACAGUUCUGGUUCUGGGGCACCACGAACCACACCCACACAUACCGAUGAACUUAAUAAACGUUGUGUGUGUUCUGACUGCUCCACUGACCAGUGAUUCUCCGGUCUCCCUCUCCUCAGGCCUCCGUAUUCCUUGAGACACAACAUAUUAAAGUUAGGCUAUUAACAACCCUAAAAUGUCAAGUUGUUCAAAUGGAAAAAAAAAAAAAGAAUAGAAAAGUUAGAAGCUAGCAGAGGUUGGUUCAUGAGGUUUAAGGAAAAAAGCCAUCUUCAAUAACAUAAAAGUUUUAUGUUAUAGCACUGGGGAAGUGGCAAGUGCUGAUGGAGAAGCUGCAGCAAGAUCUCUAGAUCUUAGAAGAUCUAGUUAACAUCGCUGAUUAAGGUGGCUACACUAUACAACAGAUGUUCAAUGUAGACAACACAGCCGUCUAUUGGAAGAAGAUGUUAUCUAGGCUAGAUGAGAAUAAGUCUCUGCCUGGCUUCAAAGCUUCUACAGACAGGGACAAUUGUAGCUGGUGACUUUAAGUUGAAACAAAUGCUCAUUUAUCAUUCUGAAAGUUCUAGUGCCCUUAAGAAUGACACUAAAUCUACUCUUCCUGUGCUCUAUAGGAACAAAGAAGCCUGGGCACAGCACAUCUGUUGAUACCUUGGUUUACUGAAUAUUUUAAGCUCAUUGCUGAGACAUGCUGCUCAGAAAGAAAGAUUUCUUUCAAAAUAUUACUGCUCAUUUGACAAUGCACCUAGUUACCCAAGAGCUCUGAUGAAGAUGUUCAAGAUCAAUGUUUUCAUGUCUGCUAAUACAACAUCCAUUCUGUACUCCACGGAUCAAGGAGUAAUUUUGACUUGCAACUCUUAUUACUUAAGAAAUACAUUUUAUAAGGCUAUAACUGCCAUAGACAGUGAUUCCUCUGAUAGAUCUGGGCAAAGUACAUUGAAAACCUUCUGGAAAGGAUUCACAACUCUAGAAGUCAAUAAGAACAUCUAUGAUUCAUGGGAGGAGGUCAAAUUAUCGACAUUAACAGGAGGUUGUAAGAAGUGGAUUCCAACUCUCAUGGA
Molecule: long non-coding RNA, 3423 nt
Filed under: Homo sapiens (human)
Lineage: Eukaryota; Metazoa; Chordata; Mammalia; Primates; Hominidae
Description: HSALNT0218018
Source: RNAcentral